This 1933-nucleotide unclassified non-coding RNA is filed under the name Lucilia cuprina (Australian sheep blowfly). RNAcentral describes it as "ras-related protein Rab-23, transcript variant X3". Lineage: Eukaryota; Metazoa; Arthropoda; Insecta; Diptera; Calliphoridae. The record is from RNAcentral.
AAGUCAGUCUUGGGAGAAACGUGAUUAAGUAAACAACGUUUAAACCGGUGAAGCGCUUAGAAAUUGUUGUUAUUUUUAACUUGUUAACGGAAAGAAGUGUAUAACAAAAAAAAAACCUAAACUGAUAAAAUUAACAAAAAAAUAGAAAUAGAAAUAACUUCUUAAGCGCAGUUUUUGUUAAAACGCGAUAAAGAAAAAAGUAUUAAACAAAAUUUGAAAAAGAAAAAAGCAAUAUAUAGAAAGAAAUUUUGCACAAAUAAAGAGGAAGAAAGAAAUCAGCAUACGCAACGAAUGAAUUUAGCAACGCACACAAACUAACUGAAGACUAACGCAUUGGAACCGGUUAAUAGAUAAUGAUAGUAAUAAUAAAUAACAUGCUUGGAAAAACGCAUGAAAAAUGUUACUGAUCUUGGCCAGAGAAAUCAAUGAAAAAGAAAGUGAAUGUUUCUACCGACAACGAGUUGUCAGAAACAAGUAAUAACGAAGAAAACGCCAACAAAUACAAAAAGAAAAUUUAUUAAAAUCCAGAUUUUUCUUAUGCAAACAUUUUGUAUUUUGUUUAAAGAUCGAAAAUUACGUUAGAAAACGAUAUUAAUGAUCAGUUGACUGCAAUUAAGUUGUCAGAUAAUAUAGAAAGAAUUAAUUUAAAAAUUAAAAGACCUUUAAGAAAAGUGAAAUUUUUGGCGAAAAAAAUUUAAGUUAAUAACACACACAAAACACAAAUGUUUAACACUAUGCGAGAAGAUGAUAUAGAAUUUGCCAUUAAGGUGGUAAUAGUGGGCAAUGGUGGAGUGGGUAAAUCGUCGAUGAUACAACGUUACUGUAAGGGAAUCUUUACAAAAGAUUAUAAAAAGACCAUAGGAGUAGAUUUCCUAGAAAGACAAAUCGAAAUCGAUGGUGAGGAUGUGCGCAUUAUGCUGUGGGAUACAGCGGGACAAGAAGAAUUCGAUGCCAUCACCAAAGCCUACUAUCGAGGUGCUCAAGCCUGCGUUCUCACCUUCUCUACCACAGAUCGAGCUUCAUUCGAAGCUGUGCGUGAGUGGAAGCGUAAAGUAGAAAAUGAAUGUCAAGAAAUACCCACAGUGAUAGUUCAAAAUAAAAUCGAUCUCAUUGAUCAGGCCGUAGUGACGGCCGAUGAAGUCGAAUCAUUAGCUCAGCAAUUGAAUUGUCGUCUUAUAAGAACCUCCGUUAAGGAGGAUGUUAAUGUGGCUUCCGUAUUUCGUUAUUUGGCCACCAAAUGUCAUCAACUAAGUCAGGCCUCCUAUACGGAACAGCAACAGCAGCAGCAGCAGGGCUCUCAAAUUAACGGUACGCAUAGUCAUGAAAGUCACAAGACCAUUAGUGCAUUUAGUCCUACAUUUACCAAAUCAAAGUCCACGCCGGGCACUAUAAAAUUGCAGAAAAGUACAACGGCACGAAAGCGUAAAAUUAUAUUGAAAAAAUGUGGCAUAGUAUAAAAAACAGCAACAACAACAAACAUUUAAAAAAAAACUAAAAUAACACAAAAAAAAAAACAAAAACAAAUCAUAUCUCAUUAUUGUUUGUUUGUAUAAGAAAGCGGCCAAUAGUAAUUAAAACUAAAAAAAAAAAUAUUGUUACUCAUCUCAAAAAAUUCAUCAACAAAAACGAAGCAAACAGUUUCCAAAAAAUUAUUGGAGCAUAAUUAACACCUUCAUCAUAUAUACAUAUGAAUACAAACAUACAUACGCUAUACUCCUAAUGAUUUUGUAGAAAUUUUUGUGUAAUUAAUUAUAAAGACGAAAAUUGUUUAAAUAAAAUACAAAAGAUAAACAAGAGUAAUAAUAUCUAAACAUAAAAACACCUUCCCCCCACACACACACACAACAAACGCUUAAUUAAAACCAGUGCGUAGACUCGCAAGCCAACAAAAACCGGCUUCCUUUUCCCUGUUGUCCAUUGAUGAAUAAAAAUU